This is a long non-coding RNA of Lagenorhynchus albirostris (white-beaked dolphin), 1311 nucleotides long. RefSeq lists it as uncharacterized. The transcript has 3 exons. NCBI's taxonomy places the organism in Eukaryota, Metazoa, Chordata, Mammalia, Artiodactyla, Delphinidae. The record is from RefSeq and is a predicted model, not a curated record.
UCCAUGAAAAAUGAGGAUUGACUGAUUGUCUUGCCAUAAAUUGUGCAUACUUAAAGAUAUACUCAGGCUGAAACUUGUGCUUUUUUACCAUUUUAUGGACUAACCAAGAUUUUGUGAGGACUUUGGUGGAGUCUGGGAUGUUUCAUUCAGCCAGGUGCAUAUGAUCAGGGGCAAAUUCAGUCAUCUGUGAGUCACAAGAUCUGGGGUGGGUUAUCAGUGGGGCUGGGCUUUGAAUGAUGGUUGGAUGGACAGAGAAAGGGUGUGAUUUCUGAGGGCACAGCAAGUGCAGGAAAAGCAGAUAGGACCAUGGGUAGCUGAGCUCCACACAUGGUUCUCUGUGACUGCGUCUGAGCCAAGGAGUUGAAUGAGACCUGCAUGGAGUGAUUUGGGGCUGUGGUUGCUAACAGGAACCAUGGGAAGUCUGUAGUCAUACUGGAUCCUCUCUGAAUUUGUCAAGGAUAUUCUGGAUGCUGUCUGCCAAGUUGUGUUGUAAGUUCUAAAAUUAAGGCCAAUAGGUAUGCUGCCUUGACAUCUGGUGAAACAAGUAUGCCCUCAAAUGGCCGUGGUGCAAGUUUCCCUUCUCAUGCUUCUCACAGCAGGAUGGCGUGACCUUUGAAGAUGUGGCUGUGACAUUUUCCGGGGAGGAAUGGGGUCUCCUUGAUGAGUCUUGGAGAUGCCUGUAUUGUGAUGUGAAGCUGGAGAACUUGGCACUUACAGCCUCCCUGGUACACGGGCCUCUCACUGUUUCAGCCUCUCCCGUUGUGGAGCACAGGCUCCGGACGCACAGGCCCAGUGGCCAUUGCUCACGGGCCCAGCUUCUCCACAGCAUGUGGGAUCUUCCCGGACCAGGGCACGAACCUGUGUCCCCUGCAUCAGCAGGUGGACUCUCAACCACUGUGCCACCAGGGAAUCCCUUUGUGAUAUUAUUAAAGGUCCUAAUUGAAUGGAAAAUGCAAAAAAAAAAAAGAAAAAGAAAAAUGAAACAAAUGUCUGUACCUUGUGUAUCCCACUGCAAACACUACUUCCACUUUCCCCCCAAGAGGUAUGUACUAACAUGAGUUUCUAGUUCAGUCUUUCCUGACUUUUCUAUAUGGUUUCAUAUGUAUGAAUCCCUACCUAAUAUAAUUUCUAGAUUGUAUAUCUUUGAACAUGAAAUCAAUAGUAUAUUUAUUUUAAGUGUAUUUAUUUAUUUUUGGCUGUGUUGGGUCUUUGUUGCUGUGCACAGGCUUUCUUUAGUUGCGGCGAACGAGGGCUACUCUUCACUGUGGUGCGUGGGCUUCUCAUUGCUGUGGCUUCUUGUGUAGUAUGGAC